Molecule: long non-coding RNA, 4020 nt
Organism: Hemicordylus capensis (graceful crag lizard)
Lineage: Eukaryota; Metazoa; Chordata; Lepidosauria; Squamata; Cordylidae
Exons: 5
Source: RefSeq, a predicted model, not a curated record
GAUGCACUGGAACUCCAUCUCCAACAAUUGUGACUGUGUGAUUGGAAAGGCUGGUGCUACACAACCAAACGAAACCCCCCUCCUCUCUCUGGAUGAGCUGUUAGGGCACCCUUUGCCUCUUCCCAGGAAUCUUGCUGGCCAGCUAAUUGCUCAGCUAGGGAGGCAUCUGCAGUCAGUGACAUCUAGGACAAUGAGGACUAGUCAUCCUGAAGAGGUGAUAACGCACAAUGUAGCAUUACAGUGUAAGGACUGGAGGGAGGACUAGGCCUCGCUUAGAGCCAAAUCAAAGGGACCAGCUCAGAGGACUGGGCGGGAUUCCUGGCUCCACCCCCAGCAGAAGCUCUGGUCUCCUGGUGAGUCUGUCCCAGGAGGAGGAGGAGGAGGAGGAGGACCCCGAGGAAGAAGCAGGCCGAGAGCUGCUGGGGAGAUGGGAAGAAGGCCGCAGCCUGUGAGGAAGAAGGACCAGGACAUCCGUGCAAGGCCUCCGGAGGGAAGUGGUUCUUCUGUGAGGAUCGCUGGGGAUCUGCAUUGCCAGGUCUGAGGACUGCAAAGCAGAAGAAAGAAAGAAAGGGCGGAGGCCAGGAACCAUAGAGCAGAGGGCCUUCCUCCACCCAGCCCAGGACAUUCCCCAACACUUGCUGGGUUGCCAUGAUGCUCUGCUCUAGAUGAGCUUCCGUGGGCUGGAUCACCAGCCCUCCUCACACGAUGAGAUCUAAGAUUUCUUCCUCCAGCAAAAUGAAGCCAGCUCUUCCAAUUCAUCUAAUAGCAGCAGUCCUGCACGUGGCUGUGUCCAGAGUCAACCAGCUGGACCCAGGGACGCAGGGAUAUUCUUAUUGAGCUUUUUUUCUCCUGCGCCACAAACUCCUGCUGCCUCCACUCCCGGGGUCCUUGUCUCAUUUGAGACCACUUCAGAAUCUUUUCUAUGUCAUCCUUGUCUGGACCCAGUUCUUGUCUGCCAUUACGGAAGAUGUCAAAGACGUCAGGUCGUUGGGUGGUCAACUCCAUUCCUAUGAUAAGGACGAGGCCAUGGAAGCCGUACUGACUAUGGGAAACACCUAUAUCAGGCAGCAGCGAUAUAGGAAGAUGCUGAAAGGCUCAUACUGCGUGGGAGAUGGCCAUGCUUCUUCGUGCUGUGGAUAAUCAUCACUGCAGCCUGCCUGAAGCAACUCCAGCCCCAGCGUGCCAUCCAUCCUGCAAUAAUUUCAUCCUUUUUUUGAGAAAAAGAGAAGAGGAGGAGGAAAAUUAUUUUUUUUUAAAGAAAAAUCUGCCUUGCUGCAAGGCCAGCCUGCUGGCUGUGCAUCCAGUCUCUCCUGCAUUUUCUGUCUUUGUUUUAAAUUGAGUAAGAAAGAAUAUUGGUAGAAAAGGAGGGGUUUUUUUCUCCUUUUUAAAUUUCCCCCCUGAUUUUUUGCAACUUCUUCCUGCUGUGGAAAGAGAAAAUCAUUCAUCACUGCUGCCUGUGCCUGCCUGCCUGCCUGCCUGCCUGCACUUCCACUCCAGGCCCAGUGUGCCAUCCUCCUGUGACCAGACCCUCAGAGGGGGACUACAGAGACCCAGCGUUGGAGAAGCCUUCAACUGAGUGAGAGUGGCCCAACCAUUUAUAUUUCACACACACACACACACCACCACCACCACACACACACACACACACACAGAUCUUUCUCUAGUCUCCCUUCAAUUGUGUAUUUGGGGUUUAUUUUAUCCCUGUUUGGAGGGAGGUUAAGGUUUGGGGGUUUAACUGUUCUCUAAAAGUUUUGUGAUAUUUGGAAGAUUGGGUUUUAAAUAGGGGUCCUUCAGUGUGUGUUGCCUUAGAGUCUAUAGGCUGGAUCCCCAUUAGCUAGGUAGUAGUAGGUGGUGGUUCAACUGUAGAGUAGACUGGAAGCGUAGCCUAGUAGUGCUUUAAAUAAAUAAUUCUUUUUUCCCCUCCCAAGAAAUUUUAUUUUAAAGAGGAAAGGAGCCUGAGCCUGUUCCAGUGCUUGCGCUAAUAAAGGAUUAAUUCAGCUCAAUGGUCUCAGCACUGACUCCUCCUAUCCUGAGUCCUGCAUACACUUUUGUGUUGUUGCUUUUUAAAAAAUAUUGAAAGCCCCUAGCCCAGUGGCGUAUAUAGGGAAAAUAGCACCCAGGGCAAGCACUGAAAUUGUGCCCCCCCCAUCCAAACAUCUGACACCCAUCUUUCAGAUAACUCUCUCAGCCUCAUUCCCUUAUUUGCAAAAUGUGAACAUUAACAGGAUUACUUAAUUCUAUAACUGUAGGAAGAAGAAUGUUUUCAGCUGUAAUAUCUCCAAAUACUAUAGCACUAUAGCUGCCAAAAUACUGCUUUGUACCCAGCUAUUAAAAGCCGAUGAACCCUAUACUGUAUGGAAUCUGAUAUCAAUGGCCCAUCUCAUAAGCAUAUGAUGGAGAAGCAUUUAUUUAUGCAUUCCAUUUAUAUCCCGCCUUUCUUCCAUCAUGGAAUUCCAACUAUAUAUGUGGUCAGUGUUCCCUCUAUCACGGAUUCCCAGAUGUUGUUGACUACAACUCCCAUAUUCCCCAGCUGUGAUGGCUUUUGCAUAGGGAUUAUGAGACCUGUAGUCAACAACAUCUGGGAACACUGCAUGGGGUUCCCAAGUGAUUACACAUCCAGGCACUGACUACAACUGGAUCUGUUUAGCUUCAGCAAAGGGGUUGUAUUAUAUGGCCUCAGCCCAUGGGAUGAAGUAGAGAAUAGUGCUGCAGUACUCUGUACACUUUGCACAGAAUUCACAAGGAAGAUGCCAAAGGGCCAACUAGCAUGUAGGAAACGACACUAUCUUGGGGUACUGGGGGUGGUUUGAGUGUGUGUGUGUGUGUGUGUGUGUGUGUGUGUGUGUGUGUGUGUUUUGCUAAGUUUCUUAUAGCUUGAACACACGAGAGGCAGAAAUUCAAUAAGUACAGCUUUUUCUAGCAUGAAAGUAUAGUUCCAAGAAAUCUGCAUCUAUUGAAUUUUUGACCUGUCGUGGUUGCUAAAGACACAGAAUCUCUCUUAGGAAACAGGUGGCAGCCCUAUUGAUUGUAGGUAUGGUAAAAGAAAUCGUUGUUACAGAUAGUCUUAUAUUUAAAAAAAAGGAUGGCUUAGUAUCUCUUAUAUGUACAUGCUCAUAUUCAUACAUGAUCUCUACCUCAGACACACACAUGCAAGAAUGAUAUAAUCUAUAUAAACACAACCUCCCUGUGUUUUCCCACCACUCCUUAUUUCAGAGGCUCUUCUUAACGCAAUUUCAAAGACACUAACAAUCCCCAAAGCAACCAGCCACAUUCUAUAUUUCUAGAGCAUCUUUACCUCCAACAACCAAUCCUGAACUCUAGCAAAGCAACCUGAGCUUGUUCACUGGGUAUAACUUCUCACACAAAGCUAAUUCAAACCAAUUUCAGGUUUAGAAACUAUGGAGGUUCAGAUAAAGGACUUGAAGCAAAUGCUCUUCUCAUCAAUAGUUUUGAUAAUGUCUCUUGUUUGUGUGUACUUAGAAGACCUGACUACACAUGCGUAAGAAAUUAUUUUCUGCGACUUUUCAUUGUUUACUCUCUGGGUUAGUCACAAAUUACUCCAAAAGGGGUAAAUGGGGUCCAUCAGGUACAGGUCUUGGCAGGAUUAUGCAAACUGCUACCUAAAUAUGUAGUAAAGACCAAAGCUUUUGUGAGGGAUCAGACAAACCCCCCCUCUUUUUUAAAAAGUCAGAGAGACCCUAAAAAGGAUGAACAAUCUCUAUCAGAGAAAUGGGAAGAAAAUCGCUCUCCCCCUCUGCUCUGAAUCUUAUGCUGAACAGGCACCAACAGGGGCAUUCAAACUGCAAGAGCAUUUCAGUUAAAAGGCUUCAGCAAAGUACUGUUGUGAGUGUAGAAGUGAGACAGAAGACUAUUGACAUUUAUACUGUUACUGUUACAUGAGUAAGUGGUAAGCUGCAGAUAUGUUUUCUUCUCCCUUCACAAGUAUGAGCGUUUCUCUUUUCCCCACCCUCCUGUUAUCAGUGAUAUCCAGGAUCUGCAGGUGUUGAACUACAACUCCCA